Molecule: small RNA, 24 nt
Filed under: Arabidopsis thaliana (thale cress)
Lineage: Eukaryota; Viridiplantae; Streptophyta; Magnoliopsida; Brassicales; Brassicaceae
Description: ATSL066650
Source: RNAcentral
AUUGAAGAGGACUUGGAACUCGAU